This 45-nucleotide non-coding RNA is filed under the name Schistosoma mansoni. The record is from RNAcentral. Lineage: Eukaryota; Metazoa; Platyhelminthes; Trematoda; Strigeidida; Schistosomatidae.
GUCCAGCUGACGAGUCCCGAAUAGGACGAAACUCGCGUUCUGAAU